AAAGUUGCGACAACACAUUCCAUGGGUGAUGAUAUCUACCAAAAUUCUUGGCGGCACAGUUCUACCCUCGUCAGUUGCACUUGUCCGAGUCUUUCUCUGCCUCUCAACCAACUCGAGAUAUUCCCCCCCCCCAACUGCAUGCCGGCACAGCUUCACAUCAACCCAUCUAAUUAAUUUGUCGGAAAGGUUGACUACACAAAUUUCCUGUUUGGUUGUGGAGAUAGAAUCAUUUUUUGUGAAAGUUUGAUUUCAGACAUUUAAAAAUUAGAAUUGUCAUGUAUUAUUAGGCAUGUCAGGCAUCAGCAAAGCAUCUCAAUCAAGUAUUAAUUAUUUUACUUUGUCAAUGUCAAUUCAUUGUGUAUGCUAUUCAUCUGUUUGCCUUGCAUUUUAUAAGAAUGACACAAACAAGGAAAGCAUUUGUAAAGUAUUAGUUAAUUUUUUUUAUAUAUAAUCUUAGACGAGAUGUUUAGUGAAUAUUUGUCAUAAAUUCUUCUUUAACUUGAUCAAAUCUGUCAUAUUUUAUUUAAAACGUGUUAAGUA
Dreissena polymorpha is the source of this 540-nucleotide long non-coding RNA. RefSeq lists it as uncharacterized. The transcript is spliced from 2 exons. NCBI's taxonomy places the organism in Eukaryota, Metazoa, Mollusca, Bivalvia, Myida, Dreissenidae. The record is from RefSeq and is a predicted model, not a curated record.